CUGGAGCUCUUGGGCAGCCCAUCGCCCACGCUGACCGUGAGGGUCCGACCGCCAACCUUGAGCACUGCCAAGUCGCCGAAGCCGCGGGAGAAGGAGUUGAUGGAGACCUCCAAGAAGCUGGUUCAAGCUCCCUAAACCCAGAGCUGGAGGAAGACCCUGCUGAACAGAUGACGUCACAGUCAGAGGCAGAAGCCCCAGGAUUGGUAGACAGACAGACGUUGGAAUGAGAGAAACAGAGUCCGGACCCCAGGUAGGGUGGAACUCAGC
This 267-nucleotide long non-coding RNA is filed under the name Homo sapiens (human). RNAcentral's name for it is "HSALNT0255418". Lineage: Eukaryota; Metazoa; Chordata; Mammalia; Primates; Hominidae. The record is from RNAcentral.